RNAcentral lists this ribosomal RNA (235 nucleotides) under uncultured bacterium. RNAcentral's name for it is "partial 16S ribosomal RNA". It matches the Rfam family "Bacterial small subunit ribosomal RNA", at positions 100 to 334 of the family's 1533-position model. The record is from RNAcentral.
CGGGACGGGUGAGUAACGCGUGGAUAACCUGCCUCACACUGGGGGAUAACAGUUAGAAAUGGCUGCUAAUACCGCAUAAGCGCACAGUACCGCAUGGUACGGUGUGAAAAACCCAGGUGGUGUGAGAUGGAUCCGCGUCUGAUUAGCCAGUUGGCGGGGUAACGGCCCACCAAAGCGACGAUCAGUAGCCACCUGAGAGGGUGACCGGCCACAUUGGGACUGAGACACGGCCCAA